GAUGAACGCUAGCGGGAGGCCUAACACAUGCAAGCCGAGCGGUAUUGUUUCUUCGGAAAUGAGAGAGCGGCGUACGGGUGCGUAACACGUGUGCAACCUGCCUUUAUCUGGGGGAUAGCCUUUCGAAAGGAAGAUUAAUACUCCAUAAUAUAUUGAACGGCAUCGUUUAAUAUUGAGAGCUCCGGCGGAUAGAGAUGGGCACGCGCAAGAUUAGCUAGUUGGUGAGGUAACGGCUCACCAAGGCGAUGAUCUUUAGGGGGCCUGAGAGGGUGAUCCCCCACACUGGUACUGAGACACGGACCAGACUCCUACGGGAGGCAGCAGUGAGGAAUAUUGGUCAAUGGGUGCAAGCCUGAACCAGCCAUCCCGCGUGAAGGACGACUGCCCUAUGGGUUGUAAACUUCUUUUGUAUAGGGAUAAACCUACCCUCGAGAGGGUAGCUGAAGGUACUAUACGAAUAAGCACCGGCUAACUCCGUG
This 479-nucleotide ribosomal RNA is filed under the name uncultured bacterium. RNAcentral describes it as "partial 16S ribosomal RNA". It matches the Rfam family "Bacterial small subunit ribosomal RNA", at positions 28 to 507 of the family's 1533-position model. The record is from RNAcentral.